GACGAACGCUGGCGGCGUGCUUAACACAUGCAAGUCGAACGAUGAAGCGGUGCUUGCACCGUGGAUUAGUGGCGAACGGGUGAGUAAUACGUGAGUGACCUACCUUUGACUCUGGGAUAAGCCUGGGAAACUGGGUCUAAUACCUGAUACGACCAAUCUCUGCAUGGGGUGUUGGUGGAAAGCGUUAUGGAGUGGUUUUAGAUGGGCUCACGGCCUAUCAGCUUGUUGGUGAGGUAAUGGCUUACCAAGGCGACGACGGGUAGGCGGCCUGAGAGGGUGACCGGCCACACGGGGACUGAGAGACGGCCCAGACUCCUACGGGAGGCAGCAGUGGGGAAUAUUGCACAAUGGGCGCAAGCCUGAUGCAGCGACGCCGCGUGAGGGAUGACGGCCUUCGGGUUGUAAACCUCUGUUAGCAUCGAAGAAGCGAAAGUGACGGUAGGUGCAGAGAAAGCGCCGGCUAACUACGUG
RNAcentral lists this ribosomal RNA (471 nucleotides) under uncultured bacterium. RNAcentral's name for it is "partial 16S ribosomal RNA". It matches the Rfam family "Bacterial small subunit ribosomal RNA", at positions 28 to 507 of the family's 1533-position model. The record is from RNAcentral.